This 1364-nucleotide ribosomal RNA is filed under the name Chryseobacterium sp. AR52. RNAcentral's name for it is "16S ribosomal RNA". It matches the Rfam family "Bacterial small subunit ribosomal RNA", at positions 63 to 1435 of the family's 1533-position model. Lineage: Bacteria; Pseudomonadati; Bacteroidota; Flavobacteriia; Flavobacteriales; Weeksellaceae. The record is from RNAcentral.
CGAGCGGUAGAGGUCUUUCGGGAUCUUGAGAGCGGCGUACGGGUGCGGAACACGUGUGCAACCUGCCUUUAUCAGGGGGAUAGCCUUUCGAAAGGAAGAUUAAUACCCCAUAAUAUAUUGAGUGGCAUCACUUAAUAUUGAAAACUCCGGUGGAUAGAGAUGGGCACGCGCAAGAUUAGAUAGUUGGUGAGGUAACGGCUCACCAAGUCUGCGAUCUUUAGGGGGCCUGAGAGGGUGAUCCCCCACACUGGUACUGAGACACGGACCAGACUCCUACGGGAGGCAGCAGUGAGGAAUAUUGGACAAUGGGUGCGAGCCUGAUCCAGCCAUCCCGCGUGAAGGACGACGGCCCUAUGGGUUGUAAACUUCUUUUGUAUAGGGAUAAACCUACUCUCGUGAGAGUAGCUGAAGGUACUAUACGAAUAAGCACCGGCUAACUCCGUGCCAGCAGCCGCGGUAAUACGGAGGGUGCAAGCGUUAUCCGGAUUUAUUGGGUUUAAAGGGUCCGUAGGCGGAUCUGUAAGUCAGUGGUGAAAUCUCACAGCUUAACUGUGAAACUGCCAUUGAUACUGCAGGUCUUGAGUGUUGUUGAAGUAGCUGGAAUAAGUAGUGUAGCGGUGAAAUGCAUAGAUAUUACUUAGAACACCAAUUGCGAAGGCAGGUUACUAAGCAACAACUGACGCUGAUGGACGAAAGCGUGGGGAGCGAACAGGAUUAGAUACCCUGGUAGUCCACGCCGUAAACGAUGCUAACUCGUUUUUGGGCUUUCGGAUUCAGAGACUAAGCGAAAGUGAUAAGUUAGCCACCUGGGGAGUACGAACGCAAGUUUGAAACUCAAAGGAAUUGACGGGGGCCCGCACAAGCGGUGGAUUAUGUGGUUUAUUUCGAUGAUACGCGAGGAACCUUACCAAGGCUUAAAUGGGAAAUGACAGGCUUAGAAAUAGGCUUUUCUUCGGACAUUUUUCAAGGUGCUGCAUGGUUGUCGUCAGCUCGUGCCGUGAGGUGUUAGGUUAAGUCCUGCAACGAGCGCAACCCCUGUCACUAGUUGCCAUCAUUAAGUUGGGGACUCUAGUGAGACUGCCUACGCAAGUAGAGAGGAAGGUGGGGAUGACGUCAAAUCAUCACGGCCCUUACGCCUUGGGCCACACACGUAAUACAAUGGCCGGUACAGAGGGCAGCUACACUGCGAAGUGAUGCAAAUCUCGAAAGCCGGUCUCAGUUCGGAUUGGAGUCUGCAACUCGACUCUAUGAAGCUGGAAUCGCUAGUAAUCGCGCAUCAGCCAUGGCGCGGUGAAUACGUUCCCGGGCCUUGUACACACCGCCCGUCAAGCCAUGGAAGUCUGGGGUACCUGAAGUCGGUGACC